Molecule: ribosomal RNA, 507 nt
Filed under: uncultured bacterium
Lineage: Bacteria
Description: bacterial SSU rRNA
Rfam family: Bacterial small subunit ribosomal RNA
Source: RNAcentral
AGUGAACGCUGGCGGCAGGCCUAAUACAUGCAAGUCGAACGGCAGCACAGCAGAGCUUGCUCUGUGGGUGGCGAGUGGCGGACGGGUGAGGAAUACGUGGGAAUCUGCCCAGUCGUGGGGGAUAACGUAGGGAAACUUACGCUAAUACCGCAUGCGCCCUUCGGGGAAAGCCGGGGACCUUCGGGCCUGGCGCGAUUGGAUGAGCCCACGUCGGAUUAGCUAGUUGGCGGGGUAAAGGCCCACCAAGGCGACGAUCCGUAGCUGGUCUGAGAGGAUGAUCAGCCACACUGGAACUGAGACACGGUCCAGACUCCUACGGAAGGCAGCAGUAGGGAAUAUUGGACAAUGGGCGCAAGCCUGAUCCAGCCAUGCCGCGUGAGUGAAGAAGGCCCUCGGGUUGUAAAGCUCUUUUGUCCGGAAAGAAAAGCGCCGGGUUAAUACCCUGGUGUCCUGACGGUACCGGAAGAAUAAGCACCGGCUAACUUCGUGCCAGCAGCCGCGGUAAAG